Perca flavescens (yellow perch) is the source of this 224-nucleotide long non-coding RNA. RefSeq lists it as uncharacterized. The record is from RefSeq and is a predicted model, not a curated record. The transcript has 3 exons. NCBI's taxonomy places the organism in Eukaryota, Metazoa, Chordata, Actinopteri, Perciformes, Percidae.
GAGGCACUAUGAGCCCCUGAAUUCUGCUGUCCAUGUUGCUAGGCUAGAAACCCAAGAACAGUUUGCUGAAGAAGAGGCACGUCUCAAGGACCGCAACCUCUGGGAACAAAGGGUGUCCCAGCUCUCAAAGGUGGGAGGGAGGAACAAUAAAGACUGCGUCCAUAAAGUGAUGGACAGGCUCUUCACCAACAGCCUAAUGGCUUCUUUCAAGAUGAAGGGGCGGG